UUAAUUUGAGAGUUUGAUCCUGGCUCAGGACGAACGCUGGCGGCGUGCCUAAUACAUGCAAGUCGAACGAACUCUGGUAUUGAUUGGUGCUUGCAUCAUGAUUUACAUUUGAGUGAGUGGCGAACUGGUGAGUAACACGUGGGAAACCUGCCCGGAAGCGGGGGAUAACACCUGGAAACAGAUGCUAAUACCGCAUAACAACUUGGACCGCAUGGUCCGAGCUUGAAAGAUGGCUUCGGCUAUCACUUCUGGAUGGUCCCGCGGCGUAUUAGCUAGAUGGUGAGGUAACGGCUCACCAUGGCAAUGAUACGUAGCCGACCUGAGAGGGUAAUCGGCCACAUUGGGACUGAGACACGGCCCAAACUCCUACGGGAGGCAGCAGUAGGGAAUCUUCCACAAUGGACGAAAGUCUGAUGGAGCAACGCCGCGUGAGUGAAGAAGGGUUUCGGCUCGUAAAACUCUGUUGUUAAAGAAGAACAUAUCUGAGAGUAACUGUUCAGGUAUUGACGGUAUUUAACCAGAAAGCCACGGCUAACUACGUGCCAGCAGCCGCGGUAAUACGUAGGUGGCAAGCGUUGUCCGGAUUUAUUGGGCGUAAAGCGAGCGCAGGCGGUUUUUUAAGUCUGAUGUGAAAGCCUUCGGCUCAACCGAAGAAGUGCAUCGGAAACUGGGAAACUUGAGUGCAGAAGAGGACAGUGGAACUCCAUGUGUAGCGGUGAAAUGCGUAGAUAUAUGGAAGAACACCAGUGGCGAAGGCGGCUGUCUGGUCUGUAACUGACGCUGAGGCUCGAAAGUAUGGGUAGCAAACAGGAUUAGAUACCCUGGUAGUCCAUACCGUAAACGAUGAAUGCUAAGUGUUGGAGGGUUUCCGCCCUUCAGUGCUGCAGCUAACGCAUUAAGCAUUCCGCCUGGGGAGUACGGCCGCAAGGCUGAAACUCAAAGGAAUUGACGGGGGCCCGCACAAGCGGUGGAGCAUGUGGUUUAAUUCGAAGCUACGCGAAGAACCUUACCAGGUCUUGACAUACUAUGCAAAUCUAAGAGAUUAGACGUUCCCUUCGGGGACAUGGAUACAGGUGGUGCAUGGUUGUCGUCAGCUCGUGUCGUGAGAUGUUGGGUUAAGUCCCGCAACGAGCGCAACCCUUAUUAUCAGUUGCCAGCAUUAAGUUGGGCACUCUGGUGAGACUGCCGGUGACAAACCGGAGGAAGGUGGGGAUGACGUCAAAUCAUCAUGCCCCUUAUGACCUGGGCUACACACGUGCUACAAUGGAUGGUACAACGAGUUGCGAACUCGCGAGAGUAAGCUAAUCUCUUAAAGCCAUUCUCAGUUCGGAUUGUAGGCUGCAACUCGCCUACAUGAAGUCGGAAUCGCUAGUAAUCGCGGAUCAGCAUGCCGCGGUGAAUACGUUCCCGGGCCUUGUACACACCGCCCGUCACACCAUGAGAGUUUGUAACACCCAAAGUCGGUGGGGUAACCUUUUAGGAACCAGCCGCCUAAGGUGGGACAGAUGAUUAGGGUGAAGUCGUAACAAGGUAGCCGUAGGAGAACCUGCGGCUGGAUCACCUCCUUUCUAAGGAA
This 1576-nucleotide ribosomal RNA is filed under the name Lactiplantibacillus argentoratensis. Its description in RNAcentral is "Lactobacillus plantarum subsp. argentoratensis 16S ribosomal RNA". It matches the Rfam family "Bacterial small subunit ribosomal RNA". The record is from RNAcentral. Lineage: Bacteria; Bacillati; Bacillota; Bacilli; Lactobacillales; Lactobacillaceae.